UCCAGAGUGGUGUAGUGGUAGCAUCCUAAGAGGUAACGCGAGGGUGCCCUUCGGGGGUCCGGGUUCGAUUCCUGGCUUUGGAA
Molecule: non-coding RNA, 83 nt
Organism: Astrocystis sublimbata
Lineage: Eukaryota; Fungi; Ascomycota; Sordariomycetes; Xylariales; Xylariaceae
Source: the annotation of a GenBank genome assembly